Molecule: long non-coding RNA, 255 nt
Filed under: Musa acuminata (dwarf banana)
Lineage: Eukaryota; Viridiplantae; Streptophyta; Magnoliopsida; Zingiberales; Musaceae
Description: long non-coding RNA (MACU_LNC008931)
Source: RNAcentral
UUUUCUGCAGCCUUUGAGCAGCAACUUGGAGGGAGGAACCCCUAUAGAGUUCCAAGGAGGCCGAUCCCCUAAAGAGAUCAACCCCAAGUUUAGAAUCUGCAAGGGUUCUAACAGUUAUUUCUCCCAAGUUUAUCAUCCCAACUGUUGGGAAAUAUUGGGGGCGACAUCAUAUGCGCAGCGGAAGAACAAGAAAACAAAACCUCCAAUUUUCCAAAAAGAUAUUCGUCGUCGUGCGAAGAUUGGUGUGCAAAAAUC